GUGACCCUCCCCCUGUGUGACCUUCCCCCUGUGUGACCCUCCCCCACCUGACUCUCUCCAGUCCAAUCUUCCCCCUUCUGAUUCCCCACUUGAUGGAUUCUCCCUGUAUCUGACUCUUCCCUGUCUGCCUGUUCCCCUGUGACCGCCCUCUGAGCCUCCCCAACCUGACUCACCCCCGUCUGACUCUCCCCUCGUCAUCCUUUCGGCUGGGCCUAACUCUCCCCUCAGGCUGACUCUCCCCAGGAUCCCUGUCAGCUGAAGGUGCCCCGGGGGACGGGAAAACUCUUUGGUACAAUGGUCUCUGUUGGGGAUUCUUGCCGGGAGAGACGUACUCUCCCGCGUGAAUGAGAGGGGAUCAGAACCUUGGUGAUGGAAUGAACGGACUCAGGAGAGCGAGCCAAAGAACAGUAAAGGGAGGAAAGUGGCUGCCCACCUGUUCACCCCAGUUGGGGUAGGAGGGACGAACAGCCCUGAACCGUCCCCCCAUUCUUACUUUUAUUAGACGGCUGUUCCCUGCACUCCCUUCAGCUUGCCCCAGGGACUCUGCCGGAUCAGGUGCCAGGCCCAAUCAGGAUCUGAGGCUCUUCCCCGAACUCCUUUCAGCUUGCCCCAAGGUCUCUGCCGGAUCAGGUGCCGGGCCCAAUCAGGGGCCGAGGCGCAUGUGAACAGUGUAUGCCUGGUGUCCCGAGGUCUACAUGGACAGCAUGCCUCCUAGUGCCUUAAAAAAGAAGAAAAAGAAAAACAAGGGUUGAAGUCACUGUGGCCAGGAAGUCACUGUGGUUUUGGUCUGGUUCAGGUUUUCUCAACAUCUUUCAGUAAGCACUCAGUAAAGAGCUCCCUGGAUUGGUUAAAGGGGAGGAUAAGCAAGCCGGG
Molecule: long non-coding RNA, 873 nt
Organism: Ornithorhynchus anatinus (platypus)
Lineage: Eukaryota; Metazoa; Chordata; Mammalia; Monotremata; Ornithorhynchidae
Exons: 3
Source: RefSeq, a predicted model, not a curated record